UCCGUAGGUGGAUAAUUAAGUCAGAGGUGAAAUCCUGCAGCUCAACUGUAGAAUUGCCUUUGAUACUGGUUAUCUUGAGUCAUUAUGAAGUGGUUAGAAUUGUGUAGUGUAGCGGUGAAAUGCAUAGAUAUUACACAGAAUACCGAUUGCGAAGGCAGAUCACUAAUAACGUACUGACACUGAGGGACGAAAGCGUGGGGAGCGAACAGGAUUAGAUACCCUGGUAGUCC
This 230-nucleotide ribosomal RNA is filed under the name uncultured bacterium. Its description in RNAcentral is "partial 16S ribosomal RNA". It matches the Rfam family "Bacterial small subunit ribosomal RNA", at positions 568 to 796 of the family's 1533-position model. The record is from RNAcentral.